AUGUAGCCCUGACCUUUGCUCAUACACAACAAUGCUAUCAGCUUAUAUUAAUGCAUCAGAUAUGGAAGGUGCAGAGAAAUUUUUCAGAAGAAUAAAGCAAGAUGGAUUGGAGCCCAAUGUUGUUACAUAUGGCGCACUGAUUAAGGGAUAUGCAAAAACAAAUGACCUCGAAAAGAUGAUGGAGAAAUAUGAAGAAAUGCGGGUUCAUGGUAUCAAGACUAACCAAACUAUCUUCACUACAAUCAUGGACGCGUAUGGUAGGAAUAAGGAUUUUGGCAGUGCCGUUGCUUGGUUCAAUGAAAUGGCAUCUUCAGGUGUCUCUCCUGAUCAAAAAGCAAAGAACAUUCUCUUGUCCUUGGCAAAAACAUCUGAAGAACAGAUGGAAGCUAAGCAAAUCACAGGAUGUGCCAACGAGCUGAUAGUCGACAGUAUUUCCAGUAACAUCAAUGAUAAUGAUGAAGACGAGUAUGACUAUGAUGAUGGAAGUGGUGAUGAUGAUGAUGAUGA
Molecule: unclassified non-coding RNA, 507 nt
Filed under: Hevea brasiliensis (rubber tree)
Lineage: Eukaryota; Viridiplantae; Streptophyta; Magnoliopsida; Malpighiales; Euphorbiaceae
Source: RNAcentral